Molecule: ribosomal RNA, 468 nt
Filed under: uncultured bacterium
Lineage: Bacteria
Description: partial 16S ribosomal RNA
Rfam family: Bacterial small subunit ribosomal RNA
Source: RNAcentral
GACGAACGCUGGCGGCGUGCUUAACACAUGCAAGUCGAACGGAAAGGCCCUGCUUUUGUGGGGUGCUCGAGUGGCGAACGGGUGAGUAACACGUGAGUAACCUGCCCUUGACUUUGGGAUAACUUCAGGAAACUGGGGCUAAUACCGGAUAGGAUCUCCUGCUGCAUGGUGGGGGUUGGAAAGUUUCGGCGGUUGGGGAUGGACUCGCGGCUUAUCAGCUUGUUGGUGGGGUAGUGGCUUACCAAGGGUUUGACGGGUAGCCGGCCUGAGAGGGUGACCGGCCACAUUGGGACUGAGAUACGGCCCAGACUCCUACGGGAGGCAGCAGUGGGGAAUAUUGCACAAUGAGCGGAAGCCUGAUGCAGCAACGCCGCGUGUGGGAUGACGGCCUUCGGGUUGUAAACCGCUUUCGCCUGUGACGAAGCGUGAGUGACGGUAAUGGGUAAAGAAGCACCGGCUAACUACGUG